RNAcentral lists this unclassified non-coding RNA (262 nucleotides) under Hevea brasiliensis (rubber tree). The record is from RNAcentral. Lineage: Eukaryota; Viridiplantae; Streptophyta; Magnoliopsida; Malpighiales; Euphorbiaceae.
CAAAGAAUAUCAGUGACAAUUUAAAUGUGGAAUCCAUCGACUCUGUUGCACCCAGUUCUAGCAAAGAAGUUAAAGUUAACAAUGGUGAAGUUCCUGAGUGGGCAAGAGUUCUAGAACCUGUAAGAAAGCUACCCACAAAUGUGGGAGCAAGGAUUCGAAGGUGUAUUUAUGAUGCUUUGGCUCUAAAUCCACCGGAAUGGGCAACAAAGAUUUUGGAACAUUCAAUCAGUAAGGAAGUCUACAAGGGAAAUGCUUCAGGACC